RNAcentral lists this long non-coding RNA (9031 nucleotides) under Triticum aestivum (bread wheat). Its description in RNAcentral is "long non-coding RNA (TAES_LNC000865)". The record is from RNAcentral. Lineage: Eukaryota; Viridiplantae; Streptophyta; Magnoliopsida; Poales; Poaceae.
CUUGCUCUCAUACACAUGCCAUGCAUUAUCUGGCUUCUUCUCUCCCUCCCACGAAAAGAGUUUCGUAGAGCCGAAAGGCUGUCUGGGUUCCGGUGGGAACUAGUUCUGGACGGCGAAGCCCUGCCGGAUAGAUGACACCGUAUGUGUGCAACUCUGUAGAGAGAUCGUAGUUUCGGUCUUAGUUCGUGAAUGCCUCCCAAAGGGCUAUCCAUGUGACCGUCCGAGUUUCGAAGGUCCUCCCGAAGGGCUGUCCGAGUGACCGUUCGAGUUUCGAAGGUCCUCCCGAAGGGCUGUCCGCGACACCGUCCGGAGGGCUGUUCGACCGCCUCCCGGAGGGCUGUCCGAGGAGCAGAUGAGGGUAUACAUCCUCGCGGUUGGGAGGUUGUAAAUCCUAGCUGCGGGGAUCUGCACUGCCGAUCGUCAUCGACUCUACUUCCCGCUGCGCUACGAGUCGGUAACGAAAAAGAUCAAACCAUGUAUGCAGUCUCCAUAGUGGUCCUGGGCUGGUGCGUAGGUCGGAAAAUUUUUGUUUUCUGCUGCGUUACCCUACAGUGGCAUCAAGAGCCGUGCUAUGCGUAGAUGCAGGUUUCGAUCUAGAAUACAUGGAGAUGUAUGGGUAUUGCAUAAUAUAAUUAGGUAGUAGAUGAGAUCUAUUGCUGAAAAUUAUUUAUGCGGGUGACAGAUGAAAUCUGUUACCCGAGGUUCUUGUUGCUUCCCUAGAAUUUGCGUUUGCUCAAUCUCGAGACAGCAUGGUGGAAUUUGACAAAGUUCUGGCAAUCCGUGAUCCUGAUUGAUCAUGGAAGUGCUAUCAGUUCUUUGGGUUCUGCCGUAGUCAAAAGAAAGAUGAAAUUCGCAAAUGAAAGGGCAUUGCAGAUAUGAUUUGCACGGGGGUCAUGCGUAUGACAAAGUUUAGUAUGGGGCUCGAGAUUUAAUUAUCCCGUGUUUCAUACACCCCAAGAUGUUAAUCUAGCAACCUGAAUAAUCAUACUUGAUGAUAAAAUGUUGGUAGCUGCGGUUUAAGUCAAAACCUUAGAAGCCACGUAAAAUAAAUUUUGCAUAAACCGAUUAGAGGCGUCUAACUUGGUUUUGCAGGAUGUGCAUGUGAUGUGGUAUAGCAGUGCUCAUACUAAUUCGAUUAUGUAUGAGAUGACUAUAUGAUGUAAUUUGGUUAACAUGACCUGCGUGUCAUGAUUUGGCAUGAUGGCUAGAGCCAUAUGAUUGCACUUUAAUGACCUGCGUGUCAACCUUGUUGUAAUGCAUUAUUUUGUUAGCUAUAGAGAUAGCAAUAUUAUCUGGUGCAUCGACAAGGUGGUGGCAAUCUUCGCGAAGGUGAACACCGACGCGAAUGCCGAAGACGAAGAAAUGAAAUACUUCUCCGUCGGAAAGGGCUAUACCAUAUCAUGCUAUUAUGAAUUGCCUGAGAUGUUUAUCCCUUAUGAUGCACCCUUCUUGAUUGCGCAGUAGUCGCUUUUUAUUAGGGUGAUCUCUCACUUAAAAUAUCAAAGUAGUUAGUGUUCACCCAAGUGUAGCACCGUCUGAAAUUCGUAUCUUUUCGGGGUGCGCCAUGUACACAUGAGCACGAACGAAUCGAGAGGAAUGAGGUGGGUGAGGUCAGACCUCGCAGCAAGAUCACUUGGUUGUCUUUGACGUUCAGGCAGGAGAGUCCUGAGCUCGGAACACGCCCAUCGAAAGAUGAACAAGAAUCACAUAGAGAUGUGAUCGGCAAGUUGGCCUACCGAUUGGAAUUCGUGUCAUCAGUGAUGAACCCGUCAAUGGCAUCGAAUAGAAAUGUGGAUCUUGAAUCACUCUAAAUCAAUUAUGAGAGAUAUUGAUUUGAGUGGGAGCGCACUGUUGAGUUAACAUGUUUAAUUCUCCGUGCAAUUAAUUAUGAACACUGUCUAAGUGUUUCUUGCAUAAUGGUUGUAGAAUAAUGGCUCGCAUUUCCACCUUCCCUAUUAAAAUUGAAUAGCUGUUAAAUAUCUGGUUAAAACUUUACGAUUGGUAACGUAAUAUGAGGAUUGUCCUCAAAAGUGCCGAGAAGGACUUUGUCCUAUCGCAUGCUUUUCGUAUCCUCCCGCUAAUGCUAUGGAUCAUGUGACUCUCGCCCUGCGAUCCAAAAGCUAGAAUUCUGUUACGGUCAAGUGGAAUAUGUUUGCUUCCAUGAAACCCAAACUUCGAAAGUUGGGAUAGUUAUAUGAUAUUCAUGGAACUGAAAAUUAUUUUCAGAUACAAACAAAGCAAUGUUUGUUUGCAAGUAUUAGUAAAAGUGUUUACUAUGCAUUUGACUGUUGGGAAAGGGAUCCAGAAGAACGCCUGUCAUAUAAUGAAAGGUGAAUAAAACAACAACUUAAAGAGAAAGGAAGUGUCCAAAGGGUGUUAGUAUGACUUACACGCCUAGGAAGUCCGGGGCUAAUGCCACUCUUAAGUUGGAUGCUUCUUCUGAGAGUAGGAGAAAUACUAAAAGUUAAACUGCUAGAAGUAUAAAGGCAAAAGGAAAGAAGACUGGAAUAUCCAGCUCAUGUAUGAAUGUCAUACAAGUUUUUGAUGUAUAGAAGGCUGGUCAAAGAUAUAGUUCUUGCGAAUUAUGGUUAAACAUGUUAAUCACUAAUUCUUGGGUAUUGUGAGUUCAUCACAAAAAUGCCCGCUCGAUUGCAUUGUUGCAACUCGAUGUAAGAACUACUAUGGCCUGAAAGACUAGCUAGAAAUGAGGUUAAGGUAUACACAGGGAACAUAGUAAAUGUUACUAUACCUUCCAUCGGUGUAUUGCCGUCUGUAUUUAUUUUCAUAAUUCAUUUAGAGUUUUACAAACUCUAUCCCAUUGCAUAAGGUAUCUUGCAAGAAGGUUGUUCAUAAGAGAACUUUUUAUGUUCGAUGUUAUGAAUAACACAAGGGCCAUACUUUCAUUAUGAAUGAGAUGUAUGUUAUGAAUAUUGAUAAUAAUACAAUACCUCUGGGUUUACUUUCAUAAUUCAUUUGAGAGUUUCAUACACUCUAGCCCAUUGCACAAUGUUUGUUGAAAAAGAGUUGUUCAUAAAAACAACAAUUGUUGUUAAGUAUUAUGAAUAACAUAAGGGCCAUACUUCCAUCAUCGAUGGGACGUAUGUUAUGAAUAUUGAGGGUAAUAUGAUACAUCCAUAACACUGACGCUAAAUGUCGCAAGACUAAAAGAAUACCACACAAGUGUGGCACUACAUUUGGUCACAUUGGAGAAACCCGCAUGGAAAAUUCCAUUAUGAUGGAUUUUGAAGUCUUUUUGAUUUUGAAUCAUCUGACACUUGCAACUUUCCUCCAAAAAGUGAAGUGACUAAAAUACCGUUCACAGGCCAUAAGGAACGAACAACAAACUUAUUAGUGAUCAUACAUUUGAUGUGUGUAGUCCGAUAAGUGUUGUUAGUGGUGGAUUUAUUUAUCUUCAGAAAUGACUCAAGUAGAUAUACGGAUAUUUACUUGAUGAGACGUAAGUCUGGAUCUCUUGAAAUCAUUCGAAAGGUUCUCAAAAAUGAAGUAGAAGUUAUUGUAACAAGAAAAUUAUGUUUCUGCAAUUUGAUUGCACAAAGGAAUAUUUGAGUUACAUGUUUAGUGAAUGUCUGAUGAGUUGUGAAAGGGGUUUCAUAAACUUGCACCUCCCGGAACACCACUGCAAGUGGAAAGUCCGUGGAGAUGUAAUCAAACCAUUUAUGACAUGGUAAGGUCAAAGAUGACAUAAAUAAAUUUGCCAUUAUCCCUUUUAAAGUGAUGCUUUAGAGACUGCGGCUUUUACACUGAAAAGAGCUACAUCGGGUCUGUUGAUAUGAAGCCAUGGUAUGGUACGCCCAACCAUGUUAUAUCUUUUCUUAACAUUUGGAAUAUGGGGCUUGUGUAAAAGGUUACAAACCUAUUCCAAAUCAGACAAGUGCUACUUUGUAGGUUAUACCAAAAUUUUGGGUAUUCCUCCCUCACUAUACCGAGGCAAAUAGUUUUGCCGCGAAACGGUGUGCUUUUAAAAAGAAUGGUUCUUUCAAAAAGGUGAGUGGGAGAAUAGUGCAACUCGACGAGAUAAAUAGUAUCUACGUCAUCAGAUCAAAGGAAAGAGACCUUGGAAGUAAUUCCAGAGUUUCCUACUGCGUCUGAUACGGAGGUCUCUACAAUAAAAUGUAUGAACUUCGGUCGAACUUGCAGCUGAACCACGUAGGCAAGGCUCGUGCAAACCUCUCAGGUGCGCAAACGAGAUAUUGUUGUUAGACAAUAUUAUACCUACGAUGCACAAGGAAGCGUUGAUGGACCCUGACUCCGGAAUUGGCUAAAUGCCAAUACAACCCGAGUUAGUUUCCAUAUAAGUGAUUCAAGAUUUAAACCUUGAUACACCUUUCGGAAGACUUAGAGUCUAACGAAUAUUUAUGGAACUUAAAACUGAUACGGAUAAAAUGUUUUAUCCAUAAAGCUCGACUUGUUGAAAUAACAAGUUCAAGAGUUGACUACGAUGAGGUUGUUUUCAUCAUAGCGAUGCUUAAAGUCGGUUCGGGUUGAACUAGCAAUUAAUACAUAUUUCAAUCAUGAGAUAUGAAACAUGGAUGAUAAAAGGAUUUCCAUCUGAUGGAAAUGAAAGCUAGGACUUGUAUAUGAUACAGUCCAAAGUAAUUUGUCGAUCCAGAGGAUGCUAGUAGGUAUGCAAACUUCAGAGUUCCAGCAAUGGACAGAAGAGAGCAAAAUGGAGUUGGAAUCUUCGUGUUUUGAUGAAAUGGUCAAAGGGGUUUUGACUUCAUCAAUGGGUAACGAAGAUGCUUGUAAUUCAAGAAAGUAAGUGGGAGCGUAAUAAUAUUUCUAAAAACCUUAUGUGCUUGGCACAUUGGUAAUUGGAAAUAAAUUUCUUGACACAAAUUAGGACUUCAUUUGAAAAUAGUUUUUCGAUGAAGUGCUUAGGCUAAAUAGCCUCAAUAUUAGGCAUGAUGAUCUAUGGAGAUAGAUUUACCUAAUGGGGCUAAGCAAUGAAUACAUAUUGACAAGAUGCUAAAACCUUUUAGCAUUUAAAACGCCAAGGAGUGAUUCUUGCCAAAGUCACAUGGAAAGAGUUUUUGCAAGACUCCGUGUCCCAAAACACUGAUGAGUAAAAUACAUGAUGCAGAUUCCACACACUUUUGUGUUUGGAUUAAUCAUGUAUUCCAUGGUAUGUAAAACAACCAGAUAUGUCCGAUACUCCCAAGGUGUUGCGAGUGUGGAUACCAAAGUGAUCAAAUUACUGAUCAUGGGACAACAGUGAAAGAUGUCACAGAGUACUAGAGUAAGUACUGAUGACAUGGUUUUCUCGCAAGCAGAGAUCAUGAAGAGUUCGUUGUAAAAUGUUACAUCGAUACAGUCUUCAUCUUUUCUCCAUGCGAUUUUUGAUUUAAAUUAAGGGUUUUGUGUAACACACAAUGUGGUGGCACAGUUAGUUGGAAUUUGUUCAAACUAGUUACUGUGGCGAACUCUAUAACAAGGGCUAAGUAUGUUGACGCUUUAGAAGCGACAAAGAAGAUGUUGAACCAUAUAGUUCAUUCAUGAACUUAGUAUAGUUCCAAGAUGGCUUUUGACAAUGGGACACUACUGCAGGUAGUUGCUCCAUAACUCAGUCUGAGGAAUCCAGGUUCGACCUGUGAUUCACAUACAUACAAAGCCAAGUCCACACAAAAUAUGAAUUUUGUGAAAACGUGAAAACGCGAGGACAUGCAAAGAUACACACGGAACUGAAGUCGUCAGAUCCGUUGGACAUCAGGCUAUACCACAAGCGAAGCAUAUUUACACCGGUGUGCCACAGGUGUGAAGUGCAUUAGCAUAAACUAGAUUAUUGACUCUAGUGCAAGUGGGAGUCUGUAGGAGAUAUGCCCUAGAGGCAAUAAUAAAUGAUAUUAUUUAUCUCCGAGUUCAUAAUUAUGUUUAUGUUCCAUGCUAUAACUGCAAUGAUUCUCGAGUCUGCAAUAUCCACGAGGCUCGGAGGAAGACUCAUAUGCACGUGUGGAAUAAUAAACGGUAAGAAGUAUUCCUAGUCUGGCCUCUAAGACUAGCUCAAGUGUUGCAUGAUGGUUCUGUUUUCCUGAUCAUGGGCAUGUCUAUGCCAGCAAUUUUGAGGGCACAAUGUUAAGAGAACAUUUGUGUUGAAUUGACCCGGAUUGAUGUUAUGCUAAGAGAUUCAUUCGUCACAAGUUUAUUGGUACAUAACACAGAGAUGGUUAACGUUUGCAUGAUUCCUUAGACCAUGAGAGUAUCGAGUUUCUUCAUGCUUGCUUCAUGAACCUUGGGGUUUGUUAAACGUCAUCCGUAAAUGGGUGGCUAUUACGGCGGCUUACGGGUUCAUGGAAAAGUGUGUCAAGUAACUUGAUAGCUCAAGAUUGGGAUUUGCUCCUCCGACGAUGGAGAGAUAUACUCGGGCCCACUCGGUGUUACGGUGUCCAUCAUCGUCUGGCCAGACACUUUGUGAUUUGAUCACGGGGAUGCCGGAACACGAAACGAGAAAAGAGAACAAAACCAGUAACGAGGUAACUUGCAUAGUGGACAAAGUGUUGGCCCACGGGGAUGCAAUAAAUCUCACCUCAGGUGUUUGUGAUAUAUCGUGAAGCAACAGGAAUAGCUCACCUCAACUGGAGGUUCACUCGAAUAUUCAUUCGUGUGGGUAUAGGGGUCAAUAUGGGUGUCCAUGGCUCCGAUGUUGAACAUUGAUCGGAAGGGGUUCCAGGUCAUGUCUAUACUUCACCGAACCUAUAGGGUCACACGCUUAAGGGUCAUCUAUCUGCUGAAUACUAGACAGGGAGUUUGAGAGAAAAUCACCGAAAAAGUUUCGGACACCGAAAAGUUUCGGACAGCGGAAUCGUACCGCAGAGAGAGGUCAUCGGAUAAGUUUCGAUGAUACCGAAAAGUUGUUUUGGGAUACACCAAUAAGUCAAAUUGGUUUCGGCACAUGCCUGAUAAUUCUUGGAGGAUGCCAGAAUCAUUCUGGAAGCUUUUUGGAAUUUUCUGAGAUAAAAACCGGAAAUGUUCCGGAGCUGCCGGUACCGCUUUGGCUGUUUUUCGCAGAUGAAAUUGACUAAUCUGAAAUUGUUUCAGAACGAAUCCAAAAUCAUUUUAGUGGGUACUGGAAUUAUUCUAAGACCCACAGAAAUAUUUUCGGAUUUAGUGGACGCGAAAAAUUGUCUUCAUGAAUAGUGAAAACGCAUUCUUGUUUGCUUUUCGCAGAUGAAAAUCACUAAACCGAAAUUGUUUCGGAACGCGUUGAAAAUUAUUUUAGUGGGUACUGGAAAUGUUCUGAGCCCACAUAAAUAUUUUCAGUUCGAACGGACGCUGAAAAAUGUCGUCAUGAAUAGUGAAAGUGCUUUUUGCUUGGCUUCUUGGAGAAGCCACCUUGAGGGCCUUUUUGGUAUUUUCCCCCUUGGCUUCUUGGAGAAGCCACCCUUGGGCUUGGCCUAUAAAUAGGGGUGGAGGGGGCUGCCUAAAGGAUCAUCCCUUGCUCUCAUACACAUGCCAUGCAUUAUCUGGCUUCUUCUCUCCCUCCCACGAAAAGAGUUUCGUAGAGCCGAAAGGCUGUCUGGGUUCCGGUGGGAACUAGUUCUGGACGGCGAAGCCCUGCCGGAUAGAUGACACCGUAUGUGUGCAACUCUGUAGAGAGAUCGUAGUUUCGGUCUUAGUUCGUGAGUGCCUCCCGAAGGGCUGUCCGUGUGACCGUCCGAGUUUCGAAGGUCCUCCCGAAGGGCUGUCCGAGUGACCGUUCGAGUUUCGAAGGUCCUCCCGAAGGGCUGUCCGCGACACCAUCUGGGAGGCUGUUCGACCGCCUCCCGGAGGGCUGUCCGAGGAGCAGAUGAGGGUAUACAUCCUCGCGGUUGGGAGGUUGUAAAUCCUAGCUGCGGAGAUCUGCACCGCCGAUCGUCAUCGACUCUACUUCCCGCUGCGCUACGAGUCGGUAACGAAAAAGAUCAAACCAUGUAUGCAGUCUCCAUAGUGGUCCUGGGCUGGUGCGUAGGUCGGAAAAAUUUUAUUUUCUGCUGCGUUACCCUACACUGUGAUCGCCGACACUUGGGAAGACAAGCAAGAACUUCAAGCCUGCUUUCCAGAAGCUGAGGCUUGGGGGCAAGCCUCAUCACAAGAAGGAGGGGGUGUCAAGGCCACUGGCAGGAGGGCUCCAUCAACUGACAGCCUCACGGACCCGUAUGCGCUACGGCCCAACCGCCAGCGACGGCCCAACCCAAAGGUGCAUGGGCCAGAGUGGGUGUGAUCUGCCAACCGCUCCCUAUACCUACAUGCUGGCGUAGAAGCGAAGACUCAUCCAGUGGAUCACGAACCCGGCGGCGGCGGCACCCUGUUCUCCCCCCAAUUCAUGUAUGUGAGAUUGUAAUCCACUAUUGCUACAAGAAUUCGUAUGUGAGAGUCAUAGAUCGAGAGAGAUAUUGUUAGGCUGCUAACAGACCACGCGUCCCACACGAGGCUGUUGCACAUGUCCCUGGAGGCCCACGUGCGACGGAAGGAACCAGAGAGAACGCGAUGUGUCGCCGCUGUCCUCCACCUUAUCUCCUCGUCUCUCGAGUCGACCACACAAAUUUGUUUCCCAUAGUCGCCGCCGGCGAUUUUUCUGUCGCGCUCACGCCAACAUCCUCUCCCGUCAUGCCGUCGAAAAUUUUAUUGCGCCGUGCUCGGCCCGAGCCUCCUCUCCCGUCGUGGCGUCGACCCAUAGCCAUGGCCGCCUCCCCCGUCCUCCUCCUCACCGUAGUGUGUCGUGUGGGGGCUGAGGGGAGCUGCGUUCGCCAUGGUGGGGAGCUGGAACCGGCGACGGGCAGGUAGAGCUCCCGAGCCGAGUGGCGUGUGAAAAAGGGAAGUACCUGGUCCUAGUGGCGGAGCGUGUGACGACCAGCGGGGGAACCAGUAGUAGAAAACGGAUCAUUUGUCUCCGGUUCACAGGUCCAUUAGCCCCGGUUCUGGAACCGGGACUAAGGUGUUGUUUGGCUAGUAGAUAUUAGCCACGGGAAUAUAUAAAACGAGUUUCUAGCCGAUGUUUCGCAAAAACUGGUUUUACUAAUUUUUCGGUUAAUAAUCA